AAAGGGUCCUGUUCCUCCAAAUGAGCUGUAUAUCUUCGUCUCGAGUCUGGCGAAUAAAGAUGUUUUUUAGUAAACUACAUCAUUCAACAUGGCGGCUAUGACGUCACAUGUACCCAGGAAAAGACACCGAGCAGACAUCCAAGGGCCGAAGAAAACGUGGAGAAGUUCUCGAUACGAGGGGAAAAUAUAAAGAGAUUAAAGAUGAUAAUGAAAGCUGAAUUCUUUGUGGUUUUUUCGGCGGUGUUGCUGUUUUGUGCAGCAGGUGGAAAAGCAAUAGUUACAGGUGGGUUUUGUCAUAACUGUGCUAAUGAUCUGGAGCUCAAAGAUGAUUGGCCUUUGUGCACUGAGAAAGAAAACGCAGGAAAUCCUCUGUGUGAGACGCGUGCGAGCAGUGAGCCCGCGAUUACACGAAGGGACUCGGUCAUAUCACUGGAUACACUGUACAAAGGAAACUAUGGAUACGAGAAAAAUAACAUGGGAAGCAAAAACAUUUUUUUCUAACAGUCUUAUUCCAACGUACGCUGGUACACUGUCGCACUUCAAUGUACUCACUGAAAACGUAAAUUCUACCGACGCUUUAAAAUAUCUGCCCUGGCGUGGCGGAUUGAUGAGUAUUUAAAAGAUCGAAAACCCAAGCAAGAGGGAAUAAUACAACCUCGUUCCCAGGGCCUUCUCUUCUCGUUUUUUUUUUCAAGAUGGCGGCGCUCGAAGGGAAAAAUCUUCGAGCGCCGCCAUCUUGAAAAAAAGCGAGGAAAGAAGACCCUGGUAACGAGGUUGGGAAUAGUUAAAGAAACAUAAUCUUGGAUUUUAUUAAUAUGGUAUUAUCCAUUUAUUAACAACGGGAUUUUUUGAUCAUUUAAUUUACUAAAUCAAAAGUGUGGAAUCAUAAGUGAGUAAGGGGUAGCAUUUCUAAUAAACAUUUUUAGAACGGA
This 932-nucleotide long non-coding RNA is filed under the name Actinia tenebrosa (Australian red waratah sea anemone). Its description in RNAcentral is "uncharacterized LOC116308314, transcript variant X2". Lineage: Eukaryota; Metazoa; Cnidaria; Anthozoa; Actiniaria; Actiniidae. The record is from RNAcentral.